This 442-nucleotide ribosomal RNA is filed under the name uncultured bacterium. Its description in RNAcentral is "partial 16S ribosomal RNA". It matches the Rfam family "Bacterial small subunit ribosomal RNA", at positions 338 to 795 of the family's 1533-position model. The record is from RNAcentral.
CCUACGGGAGGCAGCAGUGGGGAAUAUUGGGCAAUGGACGCAAGUCUGACCCAGCAACGCCGCGUGAAGGAAGAAGGCUUUCGGGUUGUAAACUUCUUUUAAGGGGGAAGAGCAGAAGACGGUACCCCUUGAAUAAGCCACGGCUAACUACGUGCCAGCAGCCGCGGUAAUACGUAGGUGGCAAGCGUUGUCCGGAUUUACUGGGUGUAAAGGGCGUGCAGCCGGAGAGACAAGUCAGAUGUGAAAUCCACGGGCUCAACCCGUGAACUGCAUUUGAACCUGUUGCCCUUGAGUGUCGGAGAGGUAAGCGGAAUUCCUGGUGUAGCGGUGAAAUGCGUAGAUAUAAGGAAGAACACCAGUGGCGAAGGCAGAUUACUGGACGAUAACUGACGGUGAGGCGCGAAAGCGUGGGGAGCAAACAGGAUUAGAUACCCGAGUAGUC